Molecule: ribosomal RNA, 506 nt
Filed under: uncultured bacterium
Lineage: Bacteria
Description: partial 16S ribosomal RNA
Rfam family: Bacterial small subunit ribosomal RNA
Source: RNAcentral
AGUGAACGCUGGCGGUAGGCCUAACACAUGCAAGUCGAACGGCAGCACAGGAGAGCUUGCUCUCUGGGUGGCGAGUGGCGGACGGGUGAGGAAUACGUCGGAAUCUACUCUGUCGUGGGGGAUAACGUAGGGAAACUUACGCUAAUACCGCAUACGACCUACGGGUGAAAGCAGGGGAUCUUCGGACCUUGCGCGAUUGAAUGAGCCGAUGUCGGAUUAGCUAGUUGGCGGGGUAAAGGCCCACCAAGGCGACGAUCCGUAGCUGGUCUGAGAGGAUGAUCAGCCACACUGGAACUGAGACGCGGUCCAGACUCCUACGGGAGGCAGCAGUGGGGAAUAUUGGACAAUGGGCGCAAGCCUGAUCCAGCCAUACCGCGUGGGUGAAGAAGGCCUUCGGGUUGUAAAGCCCUUUUGUUGGGAAACAAAUCCAGCUGGCUAAUACCCGGUUGGGAUGACGGUACCCAAAGAAUAAGCACCGGCUAACUUCGUGCCAGCCGCCGCCGUAA